RNAcentral lists this ribosomal RNA (279 nucleotides) under uncultured bacterium. RNAcentral's name for it is "partial 16S ribosomal RNA". It matches the Rfam family "Bacterial small subunit ribosomal RNA", at positions 506 to 784 of the family's 1533-position model. The record is from RNAcentral.
UGCCAGCCGCCGCGGUAAUACGAAGAAUACAAACAUUGCUCGGAAUUAUUGGGCGUAAAGCGCACGUAGGCGGUCCGUUAAGUCGGAUGUGAAAGCCCUUGGCUCAACCGAGGAAGUGCAUUCGAAACUGUCGGACUUGAGUAUGGGAGAGGGUCGCGGAAUUCCCGGUGUAGAGGUGAAAUUCGUAGAUAUCGGGAGGAACACCAGAGGCGAAGGCGGCGACCUGGACCAAUACUGACGCUGAGGUGCGAAAGCGUGGGGAGCAAACAGGAUUAGAUA